This 502-nucleotide ribosomal RNA is filed under the name Liomera sp. 19138C. RNAcentral's name for it is "partial large subunit ribosomal RNA". It matches the Rfam family "Bacterial large subunit ribosomal RNA", at positions 1824 to 2572 of the family's 2925-position model. Lineage: Eukaryota; Metazoa; Arthropoda; Malacostraca; Decapoda; Xanthidae. The record is from RNAcentral.
UGUCCAUUUGAAGAUAUAAAUGGUCUGGCCUGCUCACUGAUAUAAUAUUAUUUAAGAGCCGCGGUAUUUUGACCGUGCAAAGGUAGCAUAAUCAUUAGGAGUUUAAUUGAAACCUGGUAUGAAGGGUUGGACAAAGAAAAGACUGUCUCGAUGAUAUAGAUUGAAAUUUACUUUUAAGUGAAAAGGCUUAAAUGAAUCAAAGGGACGAUAAGACCCUAUAAAGCUUUAUAAAUAAUUUAGAUUUAAUUAAUUUAUGUAAUAAAAGUUAAAUUUAAUUAUUUUAUUUUGUUGGGGUGAUGUGAGUAUAAAUUUUAUUAACUGCUUAAAGAAAUUACUAUUAUAAUAGAAUUGUUGUGAUUAAUGAUCCUUUUUUAAGAUUAAAAGAUUAAGUUACUUUAGGGAUAACAGCGUUAUUUUUUUUGAGAGUUCAUAUCGAAAAAAAAAGAUUGCGACCUCGAUGUUGAAUUAAAAUAUCUAUAUAAUGCAGUCGUUAUAAAAGAGG